UACGAAGGGGGCUAGCGUUGCUCGGAAUCACUGGGCGUAAAGGGUGCGUAGGCGGGUUUUUAAGUCAGGGGUGAAAUCCUGGAGCUCAACUCCAGAACUGCCUUUGAUACUGAAAAUCUUGAGUCCGGGAGAGGUGAGUGGAACUGCGAGUGUAGAGGUGAAAUUCGUAGAUAUUCGCAAGAACACCAGUGGCGAAGGCGGCCGACUGGGCCGAUCCUGACGCUGAGACCCGAAAGCCAGGGUAGCGAACCGG
RNAcentral lists this ribosomal RNA (253 nucleotides) under uncultured bacterium. RNAcentral's name for it is "partial 16S ribosomal RNA". It matches the Rfam family "Bacterial small subunit ribosomal RNA", at positions 524 to 776 of the family's 1533-position model. The record is from RNAcentral.